Molecule: ribosomal RNA, 758 nt
Filed under: uncultured bacterium
Lineage: Bacteria
Description: bacterial SSU rRNA
Rfam family: Bacterial small subunit ribosomal RNA
Source: RNAcentral
AGAGUUUGAUCAUGGCUCAGGAUGAACGCUGGCGGCGUGCCUAACACAUGCAAGUCGAGCGAUUCUCUUCGGAGAAGAGCGGCGGACGGGUGAGUAACGCGUGGGUAACCUGCCCUGUACACACGGAUAACAUACCGAAAGGUAUGCUAAUACGAGAUAAUAUGCUUUUAUCGCAUGGUAGAAGUAUCAAAGUUUUUGCGGUACAGGAUGGACCCGCGUCUGAUUAGCUAGUUGGUAAGGUAACGGCUUACCAAGGCGACGAUCAGUAGCCGACCUGAGAGGGUGAUCGGCCACAUUGGAACUGAGACACGGUCCAAACUCCUACGGGAGGCAGCAGUGGGGAAUAUUGCACAAUGGGCGAAAGCCUGAUGCAGCAACGCCGCGUGAGCGAUGAAGGCCUUCGGGUCGUAAAGCUCUGUCCUCAAGGAAGAUAAUGACGGUACUUGAGGAGGAAGCCCCGGCUAACUACGUGCCAGCAGCCGCGGUAAUACGUAGGGGGCUAGCGUUAUCCGGAAUUACUGGGCGUAAAGGGUGCGUAGGUGGUUUCUUAAGUCAGAGGUGAAAGGCUACGGCUCAACCGUAGUAAGCCUUUGAAACUGGGAAACUUGAGUGCAGGAGAGGAGAGUGGAAUUCCUAGUGUAGCGGUGAAAUGCGUAGAUAUUAGGAGGAACACCAGUUGCGAAGGCGGCUCUCUGGACUGUAACUGACACUGAGGCACGAAAGCGUGGGGAGCAAACAGGAUUAGAUACCCUGGUAGU